RNAcentral lists this transfer RNA (85 nucleotides) under Felis catus (domestic cat). It matches the Rfam family "tRNA". Rfam says of the family: Transfer RNA (tRNA) molecules are approximately 80 nucleotides in length. Lineage: Eukaryota; Metazoa; Chordata; Mammalia; Carnivora; Felidae. The record is from Rfam by way of RNAcentral.
GCCUGGUUGGCUCAGUCGGUUGAGUGCCUGACUUUGGCUCAGGUCACCAUCUCGUGGUUCAUGAGUUUGAGCCCCAUGUCAGACU